UACGCUUUUUGGUCUUUUGGAUAAGACCAAAGCCUAGUAUUUAUUCUCAUCAGCUUAAUAUCCCAUACAGUCCCGAUCUGAGCCAUAGAUAUUAAAUUGAUUUUUAAAAUGAGGCGAAAUUUAAGGGGCUUGCUCCACUUUUGCCGUGUUGCUGACCUGACAUUGCAGUACUUCUAGAAUUCAGCUCAUAUUUA
Small nuclear RNA from Octopus sinensis (East Asian common octopus), 194 nucleotides. RefSeq annotates it as U2 spliceosomal RNA. The transcript has a single exon. The record is from RefSeq and is a predicted model, not a curated record. Lineage: Eukaryota; Metazoa; Mollusca; Cephalopoda; Octopoda; Octopodidae.